RNAcentral lists this ribosomal RNA (511 nucleotides) under Neocapritermes longinotus. RNAcentral describes it as "partial 16S ribosomal RNA". It matches the Rfam family "Bacterial large subunit ribosomal RNA", at positions 1807 to 2579 of the family's 2925-position model. The record is from RNAcentral. Lineage: Eukaryota; Metazoa; Arthropoda; Insecta; Blattodea; Termitidae.
ACAAAAACAUCUUUUCUUGUUAGUUUUUGAAGUAUAGCCUGCCCACUGACUUAUUUGUGUUGAAGGGCCGCGGUAUUUUGACCGUGCAAAGGUAGCAUAAUCAUUAGUUCUUUAAUUGUGAUCUGGUAUGAAUGGCUUGACGAGACAUGAGCUGUCUUAGAGGUGUUGAUUUAUUGAAUUUGGUUUUUAAGUUAAAAUUCUUAAAUGUUUUUAUGGGACGAGAAGACCCUAUAGAGUUUUACAUUCUGUUCUAUAAUGUUUUAAUGUUUGUUUAUUGGUUUGUUAGGAUUUAUUGUUUUGUUGGGGUGAUGGGAGGAAUGAAUUUAACUCCUCUUAAUUUUUUUAUACUUGUUUGUAUUUGUUUUGAUCCAUUUAUUUUGAUUAUAAGAUUAAAUUACCUUAGGGAUAACAGCGUUAUCUUCCUUGAGAGUUCUUAUUGGCGGGAAGGUUUGCGACCUCGAUGUUGGAUUAAGGUGAAUUUUUGGUGCAGGAGCUAAAAUGAUUUGGUCCU